AUUGAACGCUGACGGCAUGCUUUACACAUGCAAGUCGAACGGUAACAGGCCUUCGGGUGCUGACGAGUGGCGAACGGGUGAGUAAUGCAUCGGAACGUGCCCAGAGGUGGGGGAUAACGCAGCGAAAGCUGUGCUAAUACCGCAUGUGAUCUGAGGAUGAAAGCGGGGGACCAGGCAGCAAUGUUUGGCCUCGCGCCUUUGGAGCGGCCGAUGUCAGAUUAGGUAGUUGGUGGGGUAAAGGCCUACCAAGCCGACGAUCUGUAGCUGGUCUGAGAGGACGACCAGCCACACUGGGACUGAGACACGGCCCAGACUCCUACGGGAGGCAGCAGUGGGGAAUUUUGGACAAUGGGCGCAAGCCUGAUCCAGCAAUGCCGCGUGCGGGAAGAAGGCCUUCGGGUUGUAAACCGCUUUUGUACGGAACGAAAAGGCUCUGGCUAAUACCUGGGGCUGAUGACGGUACCGUAAGAAUAAGCACCGGCUAACUACGUG
RNAcentral lists this ribosomal RNA (492 nucleotides) under uncultured bacterium. RNAcentral's name for it is "partial 16S ribosomal RNA". It matches the Rfam family "Bacterial small subunit ribosomal RNA", at positions 30 to 507 of the family's 1533-position model. The record is from RNAcentral.